AACGAACGCUGGCGGCAGGCCUAACACAUGCAAGUCGAGCGCCCAGCAAUGGGAGCGGCGCACGGGUGCGUAACGCGUGGGAACGUACCUCUUGGUACGGAAUAACACAGAGAAAUUUGUGCUAAUACCGUCUAAUAUCUCCGGAUCAAAGAUUUAUCGCCAAGAGAUCGGCCCGCGUUGGAUAAGCUAGUUGGUGAGGUAACGGCUCACCAAGGCUACGAUCCAUAGCUGGUCUGAGAGGAUGAUCAGCCACACUGGGACUGAGACACGGCCCAGACUCCUACGGGAGGCAGCAGUGAGGAAUAUUGGACAAUGGGCGAAAGCCUGAUCCAGCCAUGCCGCGUGAAUGAAGAAGGCCUUAGGGUUGUAAAGUUCUUUCAGUGGUGAAGAUAAUGACGGUAGCCACAGAAGAAGCUCCGGCUAAAUUCGUGCCAGCCGCCGCAGUAA
Molecule: ribosomal RNA, 447 nt
Filed under: uncultured bacterium
Lineage: Bacteria
Description: partial 16S ribosomal RNA
Rfam family: Bacterial small subunit ribosomal RNA
Source: RNAcentral